GCCAGAGUGGCGGAGUGGCUACGCGGUUGACUGCAGAUCAACUCUAUCCCGGUUCGAUUCCGGGCUCUGGCU
Molecule: transfer RNA, 72 nt
Filed under: Methanomicrobiales archaeon
Lineage: Archaea; Methanobacteriati; Methanobacteriota; Methanomicrobia; Methanomicrobiales
Also listed under: 2 other names
Description: tRNA-Cys
Rfam family: tRNA
About the family: Transfer RNA (tRNA) molecules are approximately 80 nucleotides in length. Their secondary structure includes four short double-helical elements and three loops (D, anti-codon, and T loops). Further hydrogen bonds mediate the characteristic L-shaped molecular structure. tRNAs have two regions of fundamental functional importance: the anti-codon, which is responsible for specific mRNA codon recognition, and the 3' end, to which the tRNAs corresponding amino acid is attached (by aminoacyl-tRNA synthetases). tRNAs cope with the degeneracy of the genetic code in two manners: having more than one tRNA (with a specific anti-codon) for a particular amino acid; and 'wobble' base-pairing, i.e. permitting non-standard base-pairing at the 3rd anti-codon position.
Source: RNAcentral